Molecule: ribosomal RNA, 505 nt
Filed under: uncultured bacterium
Lineage: Bacteria
Description: partial 16S ribosomal RNA
Rfam family: Bacterial small subunit ribosomal RNA
Source: RNAcentral
GACGAACGCUGGCGGCGUGCCUAAUACAUGCAAGUAGAACGCACAGUUUAUACCGUAGCUUGCUACACCAUAGACUGUGAGUUGCGAACGGGUGAGUAACGCGUAGGUAACCUGCCUGGUAGCGGGGGAUAACUAUUGGAAACGAUAGCUAAUACCGCAUAAUAUUAAUUAUUGCAUGAUAAUUAAUUGAAAGGUGCAAUUGCACCACUACCAGAUGGACCUGCGUUGUAUUAGCUAGUAGGUGAGGUAACGGAUCACCUAGGCGACGAUACAUAGCCGACCUGGGAGGGUGAGCGGCCACACUGGGACUGAGACACGGCCCAGACGCCUACGGGAGGCAGCAGUAGGGAAUCUUCGGCAAUGGACGAAAGUCUGACCGAGCAACGCCGCGUGAGUGAAGAAGGGUUUCGGAUCGUAAAGCUCUGUUGUAAGAGAAGAACGGGUGUGAGAGUGGAAAGUUCACACUGUGACGGUAUCUUACCAGAAAGGGACGGCUAACUACGUG